CGAUGCGUUGAGCUAACCGAUACUAAUGAACCGUGAGGCUUAACCUUACAACGCCGAAG
RNAcentral lists this ribosomal RNA (59 nucleotides) under Enterobacter cloacae. RNAcentral describes it as "partial 23S ribosomal RNA". RNAcentral also lists the same sequence under 3 other names. Lineage: Bacteria; Pseudomonadati; Pseudomonadota; Gammaproteobacteria; Enterobacterales; Enterobacteriaceae. The record is from RNAcentral.